GUAGUCAUAUGCUUGUCUCAAAGAUUAAGCCAUGCAUGUCUAAGUAUAAGCAAUUAUACAGCGAAACUGCGAAUGGCUCAUUAAAUCAGUUAUCGUUUAUUUGAUAGUACCUUACUACUUGGAUAACCGUGGUAAUUCUAGAGCUAAUACAUGCUAAAAACCCCGACUCACGAAGGGGUGUAUUUAUUAGAUUAAAAGCCAAUGCCCUUCGGGGCUCACUGGUGAUUCAUAAUAACUUGUCGAAUCGCAUGGCCUUGCGCCGGCGAUGGUUCAUUCAAAUUUCUGCCCUAUCAACUUUCGACGGCUGGGUCUUGGCCAGCCAUGGUGACAGCGGGUAACGGAGGGUUAGGGCUCGACCCCGGAGAACGAGCCUGAGAAACGGCUAUUACAUCCAAGGAAGGCAGCAGGCGCGCAAAUUACCCAAUACCGACUCGGUGAGGUAGUGACGAUAAAUAUUGAUACAGGGCUCUUCUGGGUCUUGUAAUUGGAAUGAGUGCAAUUUAAAUCCCUUAACGAGGAACAAUUGGAGGGCAAGUCUGGUGCCAGCAGCC
Molecule: ribosomal RNA, 551 nt
Filed under: uncultured eukaryote
Lineage: Eukaryota
Description: SSU rRNA
Rfam family: Eukaryotic small subunit ribosomal RNA
Source: RNAcentral